AUGCUCAUUUCAGCAGUACAUGUACAAAAACUGGCCCUUUACAGAGAAGAUAAGCAUGGCCCCUGCAUAAGGAUGGCAUGCAAAUUUGUGAACUGUUCCGUAUUUUU
Small nuclear RNA from Zalophus californianus (California sea lion), 107 nucleotides. Lineage: Eukaryota; Metazoa; Chordata; Mammalia; Carnivora; Otariidae. The record is from Ensembl.